AGUCCAUAUAUAACUUUACCCCAACUUGAAAAUUUCGAAUCCAAAUUGGAUCCAGGCCAAAUAUAGCCAACUAUGUUGUAAUGACCACAUAACCUACUCUAUUAAUUACACAAAAUAGAUAAUAAAUAAUAUUACACUUAAAUCAAAUUAGGAUAUAAAAAUAAUUUUAAACCUAUUUUUAUAUUAAAGGCAUUGCUCAUAUAAGUUUUAAAUCAUAAUUUAUAGGCACAAAU
This 233-nucleotide long non-coding RNA is filed under the name Elaeis guineensis (African oil palm). RNAcentral describes it as "long non-coding RNA (EGUI_LNC037372)". Lineage: Eukaryota; Viridiplantae; Streptophyta; Magnoliopsida; Arecales; Arecaceae. The record is from RNAcentral.